GCAUGUCUAAGUAUAGCAUUGUACUGCGAAACUGCGAAUGGCUCAUUAAAUCAGUUAUCGUCUAUUUGAUAGUACCUUACUACUUGGAUAACCGUGGUAAUUCUAGAGCUAAUACAUGCUGCAAAGCCCGACUUCGGAAGGGUUGUAUUUAUUAGAUUAAAAACCAAUGCCCUCCGGGGCUCACUGGUGAUUCAUGAUAACUUCUCGAAUCGCACGGCCUUGCGCCGGCGAUGGUUCAUUCAAAUUUCUGCCCUAUCAACUUUCGACGGCUGGGUAUUGGCCAGCCGUGGUGACAACGGGUAACGGAGGGUUAGGGCUCGACCCCGGAGAAGGAGCCUGAGAAACGGCUACUACAUCCAAGGAAGGCAGCAGGCGCGCAAAUUACCCAAUCCCGACACGGGGAGGUAGUGACAAUAAAUACUGAUACAGGGCUCUUUUGGGUCUUGUAAUUGGAAUGAGUACAAUUUAAUUCCCUUAACGAGGAACAAUUGGAGGGCAAGUCUGGUGCCAGCAGCCGCGGUAAUUCCAGCUCCAAUAGCGUAUAUUAAAGUUGUUGCAGUUAAAAAGCUCGUAGUUGAACCUUGGGCCUGGCUGGCCGGUCCGCCUCACCGCGUGCACUGGUCCGGCCGGGCCUUUCCCUCUGGGGAGCCGCAUGUCCUUUACUGGGCGUGCCGGGGAACCAGGACGUUUACUUUGAAAAAAUUAGAGUGUUCAAAGCAGGCUUAUGCUCGAAUACAUUAGCAUGGAAUAAUGGAAUAGGACGCGUGGUUCUAUUUUGUUGGUUUCUAGGACCGCCGUAAUGAUUAAUAGGGACAGUCGGGGGCAUCAGUAUUCAGCUGUCAGAGGUGAAAUUCUUGGAUUUGCUGAAGACUAACUACUGCGAAAGCAUUUGCCAAGGAUGUUUUCAUUAAUCAGGAACGAAAGUUAGGGGAUCGAAGACGAUCAGAUACCGUCGUAGUCUUAACCAUAAACUAUGCCGACUAGGGAUCGGACGGUGUUAUUCUUUGACCCGUUCGGCACCUUACACGAAAGUACAAGUUUCUGGGUUCUGGGGGGAGUAUGUCGCAAG
Molecule: ribosomal RNA, 1069 nt
Filed under: Raffaelea sulcati
Lineage: Eukaryota; Fungi; Ascomycota; Sordariomycetes; Ophiostomatales; Ophiostomataceae
Description: SSU rRNA
Rfam family: Eukaryotic small subunit ribosomal RNA
Source: RNAcentral